RNA transcript from Cyprinodon variegatus (sheepshead minnow), 11731 nucleotides. It is a transcript of the gene named spectrin beta, non-erythrocytic 4, with no coding region annotated. NCBI's taxonomy places the organism in Eukaryota, Metazoa, Chordata, Actinopteri, Cyprinodontiformes, Cyprinodontidae. The record is from RefSeq and is a predicted model, not a curated record. The transcript has 42 exons.
GAGGAGGAAGAGGAGGAAGAGAGGCUGUGUCAGGUGGAAACGUGGACCUCUAUGGAUAUCAUCAUCGCCCUCCACCGGUUCUCCACCUCAGCACCAACUGCGCCUCCCGGCCGGUGUCCCCAGCUGCUCCCCUUUAUUCCCACGCUGCAUCCUCCCCAUCCUCCUGCGGAUGAAGCGCUUCCCGGCGUAGCGGACACCGAUCGAGGGAAGACCCUGCUGGAAUAACAGCCUCCCUCCAUUCAUAGCCGUUCCGCUUAUCGAUCCAACCGGCCGCGUCUUUAGAGGAGGACACAUCCAAGCAACAAUCUGAGAGUGACCCUUCAGGGUGAAGUGCGCGAUGGCUAAUGCCUCUCCAGACCUGGACAAUGCAGAAGCUCAGCGCCAGCUCAAUAACAACAACCGACCAAUCAGCUCUGGGUUCUGGGAGACUGAGUGUACAAGCUCCAAAUUGUUUGAGUGUUCCCGCAUCAAGGCUCUGGCAGAUGAAAGAGAUGCAGUGCAGAAAAAAACCUUCACAAAGUGGGUCAACUCCCACCUAGCCAGAGUGUCCUGUCGAAUAUCUGACCUCUACAACGACCUGAGGGAUGGCUAUAUGCUCACCAGACUGCUGGAGGUUCUUAGUGGGGAGCUCCUGCCGAGACCGACUAGGGGUCGUAUGCGGAUCCACUGCCUGGAAAAUGUCGACAAAGCGUUGCAGUUCCUGAAGGAGCAGAGGGUUCAUUUAGAAAAUGUUGGUUCCCAUGACAUAGUAGAUGGAAACCAUCGCCUCACGCUGGGCCUUAUCUGGACUAUCAUCCUCCGUUUUCAGAUCCAGGUGAUCAAAAUAAACACUGCAGACAACAGAGAAACCCGCUCGGCCAAAGACGCUCUGCUGCUUUGGUGCCAGAUGAAGACUGCAGGAUACCCUGAGGUGAACAUUCAGAAUUUCACCACCUGCUGGAGAGAUGGCCUCGCCUUCAACGCCCUCAUACACAGACACAGACCUGACCUAAUAGAGUUCCAUAAGCUGACGCGCUCCAAUGCAACCCACAACCUGCAGCAAGCCUUUAACGUCGCCGAGAACCACCUGGGUCUUACCAAACUCCUGGACCCUGAGGAUGUGAACACAGAGAACCCAGAUGAAAAGUCCAUCAUUACGUAUGUGGUCUCCUACUACCACUACUUCUCCAAGAUGAAGGCUCUUAUUGUGGAGGGGAAGAGGGUUGGCAAGGUAUUGGACAACUGCAUCGAGACGGAAUCGAUCGUGAACCGAUAUGACGCUCUGGCCUCAGACCUGCUGGACUGGAUAGAGAAGACCAUUGCCAUUAUCAGCAACCAGAAAUUUGCCAACUCGCUGACUGGAGUUCAGCAGCAGCUGCAGGCUUUCACAACCUACUGCACUAUAGAGAAGCCCAUCAAGUUUCAGGAGAAAGGAAAUCUUGAGGUCCUUCUGUUCACCAUCCAAAGCAAACUCAGAGCCAAUAACCAGAAACCCUACGUGCCUCAUGACGGGAAGCUGAUCUCAGACAUAAACAAGGCCUGGGAGAGACUGGAGAAGGCGGAGCAUGAGAGAGGCGUAGCUCUACGCAAAGAGCUGAUUCGUCAGGAGAAGCUGGAGCUUUUGGCUCAGCGUUUUGACCACAAAACAACCAUGAGGCAAGCGUGGCUCAACGAGAACCAGAGACUCGUGUCGCAGGAUAAUUUUGGCUACGAUCUGCCUGCAGUCGAGGCUGCGAUGAAGAAACACGAGGCCAUCGAGGCGGACAUAGCCUCGUACGAAGAAAGGAUCGGAGUGGUUAUUGAGCUCUCCUCAGAGAUGGAAAAGGAAGGAUACUACGACAUCCGACGCAUCCUGGCACGCAAGGAGAACAUCCUGGGCCAGUGGAGUCUCCUAAAGGAGCUGGUGGCUGGAAGGAGGACCCGUCUGGAGAAGAACCUGGCUUUGCAGAAGACGUUUCAGGACAUGGUCUACAUGAUCGACUGGAUGGAGGAAACGCAGGCUCAGCUGCUGUCAAAGGACUUUGGAAAACAUCUUCUGGAGGUAGACGACUUGCUGCAGAAGCACAGCCUGCAGGAAGCUGAUAUUUCAGUGCAGGCUGAGAGAGUGGAGAUGCUCAAUGCUGCUGCCCUCAAAUUCACCACAAUAGAAGGCUACCAGCCAUGUGACCCACAGGUGAUCUGUAACCGUGUGAACCAUGUCUCUACCUGUGUGGAAGAACUGAAACAGCUGGCGGCUAAACGGCGGGCUGAGCUUGAGGAGUCGAGACAGCUGUGGGCCUUUUUUCAGGAGCUGGAGGAGUCGGAGGCCUGGAUUCGGGAGAAAAGCUCCAUCCUGGCCUCUCAGGGAUAUGGGAAAGAUCUGAGCAGUGUGCUGAGGUUACUUCAGAAACACAAGACUCUAGCCGGGGAGCUGCUGGCUCAUCGCUCUCUGCUGCAGAACACCAUAAAACAAGGAAAGCAGAUUCUAAGUGAGAAGAGCUUUGGCACCACUGGGAUCCAGGAGCGCAUCAUGGAGGUAAAAGACGUGUGGAAAAGGCUGGAGGACCAGGCUGCGCAGCAUCUCAACCACUUGCAGGAAGCGCUCAAUUUCUUCCAGUUCUCCACGGAGACAGACGACCUGGCGGCCUGGCUGCAGGACGCCUACCGUCUUGUCUCCAGCGAGGACUUUGGUCACGAUGAGUACUCCACUCAGUCUUUGCUGAAGAAACACAAAGGGGUCACAGAGGCGAUCGAUAAACACAGACUACAUGUCGUUGCGCUGCGGAAACACAUGAUGGUGCUGCCUUUGCAAUACCAAGAACAGGAGGAGGUGCAGGUGCGUUUGGGCGACGUGGAGCAGCUGUAUACCGAGGUUGCUGAAGUUGCCGUGCUCCGGCAGCAAUGGCUUCACGAUGCGCUGGCUGUGUACCGCAUGUUCAGCGAGGUCAAUGCCUGUGAGCUCUGGAUCGAUGAGAAGGAGCAGUGGCUGGAGAAGAUGGAAAUCCCUGAAAAGCUGGAGGACGUGGAAGUGGUGGCACACAGGUUUGAAAGCUUGGACCAGGAGAUGAACAGCCUGAUGGGACGGAUCCUGGAUGUUAAUCAGAUAGUACAGCAGCUCCUGGAUGGAGGUCAUCCUUCUUCUGCGGAGGUUAGAGGUUGUCAGGAUCAUCUCAACUCCAGGUGGAACAGCAUCGUAGAGCUGGUGGAGCAGAAGAAAGACCAGCUGAACUCAAUGUUACGGCUGCAGAAUUACCUACUGGAGUGUGCUGAGAUCAAAUCCCAGAUCCAGGACAAGAGGAAAGCCAUUGAUGCCACACAGUACAUGGGCAGCGAUUUGGGAGGGGUCCUUGCUCUGCAGAGACGCCUUUCUACCAUGGAGGGAGCCCUGUCUGUCUUGGAGCCCAAACUGCUACAUCUACAGGAGGAAGCAGAGUAUCUGGCCACUGCUCAUCCAAGUCGAACCAUGGAAAUCCUUGUGCCGUUCGAUGGCAUCAGCGUGGAAUGGGAGGAGCUUAAGAGGACCCUGCAGGGAUGUGAAGACUCACUGAUGGUGGCUAGCAGGCUCCAGAGCUUCAUACAGGAUCUGGACUCCUUCCUAACCUGGCUGGUCCAGACCCAGACGGCUGCUGCGUCUGAUCAACUUCCCAAUGAUUUGGAAGAGGCAGAGAAACUCAUCAACAAACAUGCUGCUCUCAAAGAGGAGAUCGGACGGUAUGAGGAAGACUAUGAGCGUCUCCAAGCCAUGAAUGAGCUUCUAGAGUCAGAAGAUGCACCUCUGCCUCAGGCGGCCCUGCAGCAGUGGCUCCAGAAGCUUGAUGUUGGCUGGAACAAGCUCCUCGAAAUGUGGGAGAGCAGGAGGGAAGUUCUGGUCCAAGCUCAUAUUUUUCACCUGUUCCUACGAGAUGUCAAACAAGCAGAGUCCUUCUUAAACAACCAGGAAUCGGCUCUCGCUCACGUGGAGCUUCCCACCACCGUAGAAACAGUCGAAGGUGCUAUAAAGAAACACAAGGACUUUACCACCACUAUGGAGCUGAACCUGCACAGGAUCAAAGCUGUGAUUGAGGCAGGAGAAAGCCUGAUCAGUCAGAACAACAUCUACUCCGAGCGCAUCAGGGAACGUAUCGACACCCUCGCCAGCAGGGGAAACAAGAACAGGGAGCUUGCCCAGCGGUGGCUGGAAAAACUGAAUGACCAAUGGGAACUUCAAAGAUUUCUCCAAGACUGUCAUGAGCUGGGGGACUGGGUGUACGAGAAGAUGCUGAUGGCGAGGGACAGCAGUCGCGACGAGACCCAAAAGCUUCAUAAGAAAUGGCAGAAGCACCAGGCUUUUAUGGCCGAGCUGGCCCAGAACAAGGAAUGGCUGGAUAAGAUCGAAAAGGAAGGCAAGCAGCUGAUUAAGGAGAAGCCGGAGCUGAGCCCCGUGGUCCGGAAGAAGCUGGAGGAGAUCAGGGAUUGCUGGCUAGAUUUGGAGAGCACCACCCAGGCCAAAGCCCGCCAGCUCUUCGAGGCCAACAAGGCGGACCUGCUGGUGCAGAGUUAUGAAAGCCUCGACCAGAGGCUGGGCCAGCUGGAGUGUCAGCUGUCCUACGUGGACCAGGGACAGGACCUCACCACCGUCAACAAACAGCUCAAGAAACUCCAUACCAUGGAGUCCCAGAUGGAGCAGUGGUAUAAGGAGGUGGGUCAGCUGCAGGUUCAGGCGGCUUCCAUCCCGCAGCAGACACAGAUACAAGGCACGGUGGUGGAGCGACAAUCCGCUGUAGAGACCAGGAUGGCCCGACUGAUCGAGCCAUUGAAGGAGAGACGGAGGCUUCUUCUGGCAUCUAAGGACGUUCAUCAAGUCGGGCGAGACCUGGAGGAUGAGAUUUUAUGGGUCCAGGAGCGCCUCCCUCUGGCCAUGUCCCAGGAACACGGCUCAUCGCUUCAAGCCGUCCAGCAGCUCAUGAAGAAGAACCAGACACUUCAAAGAGAGCUGGAGGGACACAGGAGCAGAAUCGAAGAUGUCCUGGAGAGGGCAGGGAUCAUUGCCUCCAUUAGGAGCCCAGAAGCUGAUUGCGUCAGAGCAGGUCAUGACCAGCUUGCCCAGCUGUGGGCUCUGCUGUGGGCUGAGACAGAGAGGAGGCAGCUGGUCCUGGACGCCAUGUAUCAAGCCCAGCAGUAUUACUUCGACACAGCUGAGGUGGAGGCCUGGUUAAGCGAGCAGGAGCUGCACAUGAUGAAUGAGGAGAAGGGAAAGGAUGAGCCGAGCACGCUGCAGUUGCUGAAGAAACAUUUGCUCCUGGAGCAAACCAUCGAGGACUACGCUGAGACCAUCGGCCUGCUGUCACAGCAGUGUCGACAGCUGCUGGAGAUGGGACAUCCAGACAGCGAACAGAUCAGCAAGCGUCAGUCGCAAAUAGACCGACUGUACGUGUCCCUGAAGGACCUGGUGGAGGAGAGAAAGAGCCGCCUGGAGCAGCAGUACUGGCUGUAUCAGCUCAACAGGGAGGUGGACGAGCUGGAGCAGUGGAUCGCCCAGAGGGAAGUGGUCGCCAGCUCGCCAGAACUGGGCCAAGACUUUGAGCAUGUCUCCGUCCUCCAAGAAAAGUUUACAGAGUUUGCCUCAGAGACGGGAAGUGUGGGGCAGGAACGUGUGACGGCCGUCAACCAGAUGGUGGACGAGCUUAUAGACUACGGUCACUCUGAGGCCGCCACCAUCGCUGAAUGGAAGGACGGGGUUAAUGAAGCCUGGGCCGACCUGCUGGAGCUGAUGGAGACCAGAGCGCAGAUGCUCGCUGCGUCACACCAGCUGCAUAAGUUCUUCUCAGACUGCAAAGAGAUUUUGGCUCAGAUAGAAGACAAGCACCGCAGACUACCAGAAGUUCGGGCUCGGCAGGGGAGCACCUCCAACACCAGCACCCUGCAGAGACUCCUGCAAAGCUUCGAACAGGACAUCCAGCUGCUGGUCACUCAGGUGCGUCAGCUGCAGGAGAGUGCGGCCCAGCUGAGAACGGUGUAUGCAGGAGAGAAGGCCGAAGCCAUCGCCUGUCGGGAGCACGAAGUGAUGCUGUGCUGGAAGGAGCUGUUGACAUCAUGCGAAGAGUGUCGACUGCAGAUCACCACGGAGACGGACAAGCUGAGGUUCUUCAGCAUGGUCCGGGAUCAGAUCAUGUGGAUGGAGUCAAUCAUCUGCCAGAUAGGCACAGGAGAAAAGCCAAGGGAUGUGUCAUCGGUGGAGGUGCUGAUGAAUUAUCACCAAAGCCUUAAGAGCGAAGUGGAGGCCCGCAGCCAGAGCACCCUGGAGUGUAUCGAAAUGGGAAAAAUGCUGCUGGCUGCUAGAAACCCUGCUGCCGAGGAGAUCAAAGAAAAGCUGGAAAAGGUGAUUUCCAAGCAGCGGGAGCUUUUGGAGAAGUGGGACAAGCACUGGGAGGUUCUACAGCAAUUGUUGGAGGUCCAUCAGUUUGCCCAGGAGGCGAUGGUGGCGGAGGCCUGGCUGACCGCUCAGGAGCCGCUGAUCAAUAGCAAGGAGCUGGGAGGGAGCGUGGACGAGGUGGAGCAGCUCAUACGUCGACAUGAAGCCUUUAGGAAAGCAGCCGCCACCUGGGAGGAGAGAUUCAGCUCCCUGCGACGCCUCACUACGGUGGAAAAGCUGAAAGCAGAACAGAGCAAAUUGCCCCCAACACCCCUUCUGGGGCGUAAAGUCUUCCUGGACCCACAAGAUGCAUCAUCUGUUCCAACAACCCUCCCCCGCCUUCCAGUCUCCCCCGUCAUGAGACAGACCAUCUAUGAGCAGAAUGAGGCCAGCUCUCCUCCAUCUCCUUCGCCUGCCACCCCAACGCCCUCCCCAUCAGCUGCGGCUCGCCGGCUGGGGUCCACGGUCGCCAACUACACCCCCGUGAUGAACGGAUCCAGCUACAGACACACCCUGGAGGCGCGGCACGGUGGAGUGGUGGGUGUGGCAGCUGGACUAGGUCAGCCAGCUCCCUCGUCGAUUGCAUCUGUUGCCACGGCGGCAAUGUUGGUGUCGGCAAAUCAGAUGCGAGAAAGUACCAGCACUGCAAAAGAUCAGGCCACCAAAACCAUGAGUUACUUACAGCCGGGGCAGGCGGGAAAGGAGCUUGAGGUGAAAUCCUUGCCGUAUCUACGGCAACCCAAAAUCAAACACUUGGACGAUGCUGUGACGCCUUUGAUUGUGGCUAGCCGACUGGAGAGAGGCAGAGAGAGGGGUAGAGAACGGGAAAGAGGGGGGGGAAUGGCAACAGAGCGAGCAGAGGUGGCGGUGAUGGCUGAGGUGGUGCUCCAGGAGCCGGGUCGAGAGCGUCUGCACAGCGAGCCCACCCGGGGGCCACGGGGAUCCAGGACCGACCCCCUGGGUCACGCAGAACCCCAGGUCCAGACGUAUCAGCGGCAGCUCUCCAGUGAGCAGCUGAUCCAGGCACGCAGAGAUGAGCUACCUCAGGAGGUGUGGAGAGAACAAGCAGAGAGGAGGCGGACGCUGGAGAGGCAAACCUCCAGUGAGCAGGAGGGCCAUGACGGCCGGCGGAGAGAAAGGGACCGGCACCGAGGGGAGAGACAGGAGUCCAGUGACGACAUGGGCAGAGAACAAUCAGACAGGCGCUCUACAGGAGGAGAGAAGAGAACCACCAUGGCAGAGAUAGUAGAGCAGCUUCAAGAAAGAGAAGCAGCACAGGCUCGUGGCGAGGUUCCCCGCCUGCCCAACGGUAUACCAGAAAAGUCUUCCCGUCUUGACCGGCCCAGAGCCAGGGACAGACCCAAACCAAGACGAAGGCCUCGUCCCAAAGAGCCAGGAGAGACAACGCGGAGGUCCAGAUCUGCUCCAGCUCAGAGCAGCCAGACGGCCCCCCAACCACCAACCCAUACAGCACACCAUGAGGGCUUCCUUUUCCGCAAGCUGGACAUCGAGAGCAUGAAGAAAAGCACCAAUAGGUGGGUCUUCAGAGUCAUAAACAAGAGUAACUAGUGGAGGUUUCAUAGACAGUGGAUGCACCCUGGUGUCAUGAGGAUCCAAAUUAAGGAAUUCUGAUGACUAAAUUAUGAAGUAAUUUCAUAAAAAGUUUCCUCAUUCAUUUUUUUAACCAUCUGGUUGACAAUCAGAAAUAUUGUUACUAUAUUCUUGAAUACAUCCCUGUUGUGUUUAUUGAAUGAUCAAUGGCAACCGGGCGCAAGUUAAGCAUGCAGAGUUACGACUGCAACUGCAUCUGAUUUGUUUGGACGAUGCAUGACGGACACUGACUCAGCUGACAUGUGGUCCUUACAGGCUGCAAGCAAAUCAAGCACGCUGUAGUGCUGGUCAGUUGAUGAUAUUAGCUUUUUACUGUAACCCUAACCGGCUUUCUCUUCUCCACUACAACCAGGCUUCAAACUGGUUUAGUAGAUCCAUGAUAAAGUAGAUAUGCAAGGUUUUUAAUCUGUCUUUCAGUGUUUCUGCCUUUCAGUCCUAAAUAUGCAACUACAGCACCCUCAAAACAUAUCUUAGCCAUGAUUAAGAAAAAUGUGCAAAAACUAUUAAAAUAGUCAAAUCUCUCAUAAGACAUUGUGAGAAUAAUCAGCCCACAGCAUCACAGAUCCUUCACCAUGGCGAACAGCAGGCAUAAGUUGAUUUUUUAGAAAGUCCUCCUUUGUUUGACAUCACAUCCAGAAGCCCUGUCUGUUGCAAAAAAGCAUUAGCUCAGUCUCAUAUUAACAAAAUACACAAUUCAAGUUAAAUUUCCAAUAUUAAACCUCACAUGUUAGUGUUCAUAAAAUUAGGGCAUAAAAUGCUUCUUGUUUACUUUGCUUCCCUCCCAAAUAAACAGUUGUUAUUUUGAUGGUGUCCAACAGUUUUGAAUCAAACUUAACAAACCAAAGAUACCACUGGUGACUGUAGUUCUCUAACCCCUCUUACCAUCCUCCUCUCUCUGCAUGAAAGCAUCAUGGACAUGCAGUAGGCUCUCACCCAACCUUGUUUGGGGCAUUUCUAAUUGUUAGAAAUAUCUAAAUUAUGUCCGACAUGUAAACAUAUUUUGCAAAUAGGUUAUUUCUUUUGCAGUUGUUUUCUGGCCUAUGAACAUUAAUAUCCACCUGUCUACUCUAAUUAAACAAUAUUUUUUAUUGUUUUAUCCAGUUUGAUGGGUGGAUUUUUAAAAUAAAAACUCCUUUUGUCUCAAUUUACUAAAAAUAAAACAACUAAAAGUUUGAAGCACUCAGAUGAGCAAUAAUAAAUUAUAUGAAAAAAACAUUAUUUUUUUUUACCCUUAUUUUAAAUAAAUUGUUUGGAGGAUCAAUAAUUAUUAAAUUGGUGAGUGUAUAAGAAAAAUAAAUACAUAUUAUAUCUGAACAUUAGAUUUUAUGCUCUGCUCUACCUUCUUUAUUUCUUCAGUACGAAAAUUUACUGCUCACCAGGCGUAGUAAUAUUUGCCAAGGGUGCUGUAGUUUUUGUCUUGUAUAUUUUUCUACAAGUAUGUUAAUAUUUAAUACAUCUUCUUUUUAUGUACAAAAUGUGAGGACAACAGUUACAUGAAUUAACAAGAGCCUGAAAAAGCCCCACAGCACGAUAAACCGCCCUUGCAUGAUGCUUACUCUGCUUCCUGAAUCAAAAGCACAGCUGAGGCGGGUGGUUUACUCACAGACUAACUGGCUGGAUGAAGAAUGCUGUGAGAGUGGAUCGAUCUGCUGGCCAUGCACACAAACCCCCACACACACACACAUUUACACCUCCUGACCAUCCACAGGCGACCUCCCUCCUUCCUCCAUAGGGACACCAGGGACAAUGCCUUUCUUUUUCUCUCUCUCUCCACUGCCCCCUCCCCCCGGUGGCUGACCUGAUCACGCACAGCCAAAAGCUCAUCCAGUUCCAGCAGUGGAUGAGACCCACUCAUGCGCCCACUCAAGGCAGUGGAUGAAUGUGAUCAUAUGUACAUGCCCUGUAAUGUACAUAGUAAGGUAAAGCAAAACUGUGAACGGCUUGAAUCCAGUGUGAAGCUGCUAACGGCUCCUCGUGGGGCUCAUUGAAGCCACCCACCGUCAAGGCGAGCAUUGAGAUUCAACCCGUCACUGUUACAUCACCACUCUACAAAUUAUUAUUUUCUUUUUCUGUGCAUAUUAACAUUCUGAUGAAACAAACAAAAGAUUAUUUUUUGGACAAAAUGCUUGUAAAAUAUUUUUUGUGAGAAAAAAGGUAAACAUGGCAGGACAGAAUAAAGAUUUACAAUUAUUUAUCCUCAAGUGUAAAAUAGAAAACAAAUAAAAGACAUUAAAAAAAAGCUCUUUUAGAAAGUAAGUGCACCCUUUUAUUUCAUAGCUCAUACAAAUUCCCAGUAACUGCUAAAACUGCAGAGUUCUCGUCAAAUUACAACAAACCUGAACUUUGACUAGGCCAUUGCAGCACUUUCAUUCCUUUUUAGCUGCUCUGUUGUAGAAUUGCUGCUGCGUUUCUGGGAUCAUAAACCUGUUGAUGAUCCAUUUUGGCCCAAGCUUCAAACCCAUGUUGUCACAUUUGACCUUAGAAAGCUUUGGUAAACAGAAGAACCAAUCAGUGAUGGCAUUGAGCCCAGGUCAUAAUGCAACAAACCCAAGUUAUCAGCUCUUCACAGCUGAUAAACAUGGUUCCUGUUUGUUGCAUCCAAACACCUCUAUUUUGGUCCAUUCUAUUCCAUACUGUAUGUCCAUUGGUUCUAUCGGAUGCUCCUUUGCAUCUCUAAUCUUUCCUACUUGUUCUCUUUAAAACAGAGGCUUUCUAGCUCCUAAAUAAGCCAGUUUUUGUCUAACUGUUCUGUAAUAAGAAGCUAUUUGAGGAUAAUUUUGAUGGAACGUUCAGUGAUUGUAGCAUGAUGGAAGUUUAUUCCAUUUCCCAAAUUAAUGACCGCUUGUCCAAGGUCAUUCCCGAUGUCUUUUCAUCUCAUUUUAUUAUGGUUAUUACACUGAUGAUCAUCAGUUAAUCAACUGCAUUGAAUUAGCAGCACUGGGACGCCUUUUCUUCUGAAGUGCUGUAUAAACUGUGAGGGUGUACUUAGUUUUUUAAAGACUUCUUGUCAGUUUUAGCUUUAUUUUUCAUGAUCAUCAAAUCUUUUAUUAAUUGCAGCCAUACUGUUAUAGAUAUUGGGACCUAGACUGUCACAUAUGUUGUAGGUUUCUGUCCACUUGAUUCUCUGUGACUUAUUUUAAGGUCUUUUCUAUCAGGAUGUUAAGCUGUACACUGAAUCUACAUCAAAUACUGUGCACACGUCUAUGGCACUAAAGACUCUGUGGUUUGGUUACAGAUUUAUAGCGCAUAAUUAUUUCUUUAUAUGUUUAAAAGAGGGCAGCUUUGGAAAUAGUUAUUUAAUCUUGAACAAAAUCCGUGAGGUUCAUUGUCACUUGAAAUGAAUGACUAAAGUUGUGUUUGUUUAUCAAUUUUCUUCAUUUUAUCUUGUCAAACAGACCGACUCUGCUUCUGCAGAUCUUUAUUUAUAGAUCUGGUUGUUUGGCUUUAAUCAGGCGUCUCAUUGGUGGAAUCAGAGCCAAUAUCUGACAUGCCUGAGACCUUUGCACAGUACUUCCCCCUUUUUACUGAUAUGCUUCAUGCAUGUGGUCACUUUAACUGAUGUAUCGUUGCCUUAUUGCAAAAAAUGACAUUUAACCAAACGCUUCUCCUCUUUUUUGUCUCUUUCACGCUGUGCUUCCGGCUGUCCCUCUGUUCUCCUCUAAGUGUAUAUCCUCCUCCCUUCUUGGGGCUGGUCCAUCCCGCCUACCUACCUGUCUGCUCUGGUCAGCAGGUCUUGGGUCAACCUUUACUGCGUGCUGAACAAAGGGGAGC